Molecule: ribosomal RNA, 503 nt
Filed under: uncultured bacterium
Lineage: Bacteria
Description: partial 16S ribosomal RNA
Rfam family: Bacterial small subunit ribosomal RNA
Source: RNAcentral
AUUGAACGCUGGCGGCAGGCUUAACACAUGCAAGUCGAGCGGGGUGAUGGUGCUUGCACUAUCACUUAGCGGCGGACGGGUGAGUAAUGCUUAGGAAUCUGCCUAUUAGUGGGGGACAACAUCUCGAUAGGGAUGCUAAUACCGCAUACGUCCUACGGGAGAAAGCAGGGGAUCACUUGUGACCUUGCGCUAAUAGAUGAGCCUAAGUCGGAUUAGCUAGUUGGUGGGGUAAAGGCCUACCAAGGCGACGAUCUGUAGCGGGUCUGAGAGGAUGAUCCGCCGCACUGGGACUGAGACACGGCCCAGACUCCGACGGGAGGCAGCAGUGGGGAAUAUUGGACAAUGGGGGGAACCCUGAUCCAGCCAUGCCGCGUGUGUGAAGAGGGCCUUAUGGUUGUAAAGCACUUUAAGCGAGGAGGAGGCUCUUUUGGUUAAUACCCAAGAUGAGUGGACGUUACUCGCAGAAUAAGCACCGGCUAACUCUGUGCCAGCCGCCGCGGUAA